UCAUUUUGAAGUUUUUCUUCUGCAGUUUGAAAUAAUGUAAAUUCAGAAAUUAUUCUGUGCAUUUAUUAUCAUGACUUAGUGGAUUGGACAAAAAUGACAGAUUAACUAUUGUGAUUUCAGGAAAAUUUGCCUAAGAAUAUAUGUUUCCUCCAUUGAAUUUUUUUUGUUUUGCAUACUUCAUUCGCAUAGGAUUUUUCAACAAAAUAUUGAAAAUAUGCUUUGAAGUAUUAAUGCAUUGCAAAAAACAAAUAAUCCAUCAAAUAAAUUUUAGUCGGAUAUUCAUAAGAAUAUCCUUUUCAUUUUCCUUACAAAUUUUAUUAAGUCUGAUGCAGACAUUUUGUAGUCAAAGCAUUUCAACUGAGGUACUACACAGGCGUCAAAAGGCGUCAUUAUGGAGUAAAGGGGGUAGCGUCAAAAGGCGUCAUUAUGGAGGAAAGGGAUAAGAUAUCAGAAAGUAAGUUCUUACGAUUGCCAUACUCACCCUUUUGUGUUUUUGCAAUAAUGUAAACAGCGCAAUAGUUUCUGAGUUUACAGUAUAUUAAACAUGUAUUUGAACAUGUCUGUUUUGCAAGUUUGGAGUUGGAGCAGUAAUGAGACAAAACACAGUUUUACUAAAUAAUUUAUAUACAUAAUGUGAGUUUCUGGGAUAUGGAAGUGUCAGUAUAUAAUAGACUUACAUAAAUUGGUGUUAAUACUCAUGUAAGCAUGUAUGUAUAUAUGUAUUAUUAUAAAUUUAGAUUAUGAGUAUGCAUGUCACUUGCUUCUAGUGAUAUAUCCAUGCACAGGUAUUCUAAUUCCUCAAAAGUAUACUAUUCCAUAGCACAACAUACAUUGGGUAAAUGUUGUGCUAAGAAAGAAUAAAGUUGUGUGAGUGCAGAAAAAAUGUGUUGGAGAGUGUGUUAGAAAAAAGAAACCUUUGAAAUGAUAAAUGGUUAUGAUUUUGACUUUAUCUAAUAUCAUAGUUAUUUAAACUAGUCCUAAUUGAAAUAUAGAAAAUUCUGGUAAUUUUCUGUGGAUGAUGCCAUUUCUGCCUGACAUAUCCAGGAGCGUAUCACCAGCCAAGUAGAACACUUUGGUGUUGACAUAAAAUAUCAUUGAUUUGUCCUUUUUCUACAAAUUUAAUGUUUUUCAUAUGUUAAUUUUUUCCCAAACAUUUACAUUUUUCCUACCCCAGGAAAAUAUAGCUUUAACGGAAUAACAGAAUUAGGUACAUUUUGAGUUCUUAUAAAUCAAUUCAUUUUGUUAAGUUUAUGAUCAGACUAAUGGAUGAUAUUAUCACUCAAUAUUGUUAAGAUCACAAACAAUUUGGAGCAGUGCCAUUGAAAAGUGUUUCAUGUUUCUUAGUGAUACAACAGAAUUUUAGAGAGAACAAUUGUUUUUAUUAUUACAAGAAAUAUAUACUGUUUUCAGCCAUUCCUUAACAAGUUUCAUAUGCAGAUAUUGAUAAGGUUUUCUGAUGAUGUAGAUGAUUUUCCAGAAUUGACUGAAACAAGCGAUUUUUAGGUUCUUAAAAGUGUAAUGGAUAUAGGGGUUUAUUUAUGGAGGUUUAAGAAAAAUCAGUAAACUAUAUUCAUUUUUUAGGUCUAUGAAAUGUGAAUGCUUUCACUCAUUGGCCUUUUUCUGAAAUAGCAAUACAAGGACUAUUUUAAUGGCUGUGAAAAUAAGAUGUUAUGAAAAUAAUUUGGGGUUGAUUUAUACCCAGUGGCAUUAAACAGGGCUACUCAAUUCAGAACGACAGAUGUGAAAUAAUAUUGGCUACCAGGAUAAAAAAAAAGUGGCUCUAGAUAUCUUAGCGAUGUGAAUUUACUGGCAUGUUCAUUUCCUUGACAUGCAGUUUUAAAUGAAAUAAUAGAAGUGUGCUGAUGGCAAUAUCUUAUAAAUACAAUAGUAUAUGGUGGAUUGAUAUAGAUGUAUGAGUGAUUGUUGUCGAGCCUGCAACUUUUGUUGCAGAAAGCUCGACAUAGGGAUAGUGAUCUGGCGGCGGCGGCGGCGGCGGCGUUAGCUAACUUCUUAAAAGCUUUAUAUUUUAGAAGGUGGAAGACCUGGAUGCUUCAUACUUUGUAUAUAGAUGCCUCAUGUUACGAAGUUUCCGUCAGUCACAUGUCCAAUGUCCUUGACCUCAUUUUCAUGGU
RNAcentral lists this long non-coding RNA (2132 nucleotides) under Mytilus galloprovincialis (Mediterranean mussel). Lineage: Eukaryota; Metazoa; Mollusca; Bivalvia; Mytilida; Mytilidae. The record is from RNAcentral.